GGGCCCGCACAAGCGGUGGAGCAUGUGGUUUAAUUCGAUGAUACGCGAGGAACCUUACCAGGACUUAAAUGUAAGUUGCAUGAUUCAGAAAUGAAUCUUUCUUCGGACUACUUACAAGGUGCUGCAUGGUUGUCGUCAGCUCGUGCCGUGAGGUGUCAGGUUAAGUCCUAUAACGAGCGCAACCCCUAUCGUUAGUUGCCAUCAAGUAAAGUUGGGAACUCUAGCGAAACUGCCGGUGCAAACCGUGAGGAAGGUGGGGAUGACGUCAAAUCAUCACGGCCCUUACGUUCUGGGCUACACACGUGCUACAAUGGCCGGUACAGAAAGCAGCCACUAUGCGAAUAGGAGCUAAUCUUUAAAACCGGUCUCAGUUCGGAUUGGAGUCUGCAACUCGACUCUAUGAAGCUGGAAUCGCUAGUAA
RNAcentral lists this ribosomal RNA (421 nucleotides) under uncultured bacterium. RNAcentral's name for it is "bacterial SSU rRNA". It matches the Rfam family "Bacterial small subunit ribosomal RNA", at positions 917 to 1341 of the family's 1533-position model. The record is from RNAcentral.